This 77-nucleotide transfer RNA is filed under the name Hyphomicrobiales bacterium. RNAcentral's name for it is "tRNA-Arg". It matches the Rfam family "tRNA". From Rfam's summary of the family: Transfer RNA (tRNA) molecules are approximately 80 nucleotides in length. Their secondary structure includes four short double-helical elements and three loops (D, anti-codon, and T loops). Lineage: Bacteria; Pseudomonadati; Pseudomonadota; Alphaproteobacteria; Hyphomicrobiales. The record is from RNAcentral.
GGCCCCGUAGCUCAGUGGAUUAGAGCAGCCGCCUUCUAAGCGGCAGGUCGCAGGUUCGAGCCCUGCCGGGGUCGCCA